CCUACGGGUGGCAGCAGUGGGGAAUAUUGGACAAUGGGCGAAAGCCUGAUCCAGCCAUGCCGCGUGUGUGAAGAAGGCCUUCGGGUUGUAAAGCACUUUCAGUGGGGAAGAAAGCCUUGGGGCUAAUACCCUCGAGGAAGGACAUCACCCACAGAAGAAGCACCGGCUAACUCCGUGCCAGCAGCCGCGGUAAUACGGAGGGUGCGAGCGUUAAUCGGAAUUACUGGGCGUAAAGCGCGCGUAGGCGGUCUGAUAAGCCGGUUGUGAAAGCCCCGGGCGCAACCUGGGAACGGCAUCCGGAACUGUCAGGCUAGAGUGCAGGAGAGGAAGGUAGAAUUCCCGGUGUAGCGGUGAAAUGCGUAGAGAUCGGGAGGAAUACCAGUGGCGAAGGCGGCCUUCUGGACUGACACUGACGCUGAGGUGCGAAAGCGUGGGUAGCAAACAGGAUUAGAUACCCGUGUAGUC
This 465-nucleotide ribosomal RNA is filed under the name Vreelandella stevensii. Its description in RNAcentral is "partial 16S ribosomal RNA". It matches the Rfam family "Bacterial small subunit ribosomal RNA", at positions 338 to 795 of the family's 1533-position model. The record is from RNAcentral. Lineage: Bacteria; Pseudomonadati; Pseudomonadota; Gammaproteobacteria; Oceanospirillales; Halomonadaceae.